AAGUCAUGACUCCCUACAAGACAAAAAACAGGUUUGCUUAUUUUGCUACAAACCAAUAAGUUCUUCAGCCAUGCUGCAAAUCCACUGUGUAUCCAGUUCCCAUCUGCGGCCCGCACAUCAUCCCCAUGGGACUUGAGAGCAAGAGGAUCCCACGCAAAUCAUGUUGCUUGCUGUGCUCCCUCUCUGUAUGAGUUUAACAGAACAGUUGAAUCGCACAAUCAAGUUGCAAAAUGAAAAGAGCUACCUGCAAACAGUUCUGAGAACUGCCCACCCACCUGCCCUGAGGAUUUACAAUACAAAAAAGAAAAUUGAUGUGUGUGGCUCCCUUGUUAUUUUGUUAAAGCCAUCAAACGAAUAACCGAAGAACUAUAUGGUAACAGAAAAUGGAGUUUACAUUCCAUCUAGUCAUUCAGGAGGUGAAGCUCCCAGUUUG
Molecule: long non-coding RNA, 433 nt
Filed under: Pan troglodytes (chimpanzee)
Lineage: Eukaryota; Metazoa; Chordata; Mammalia; Primates; Hominidae
Description: long non-coding RNA NONPTRT015367
Source: RNAcentral